AGGUUUAUGAUGACAAACCAAUGUCAUGAAGAGAGAUGAUUACAUAAAAACGAUGCUCAAUAAGAUUAUGCGGAGGCCC
Mesocricetus auratus (golden hamster) is the source of this 79-nucleotide small nucleolar RNA. Its record names the gene SNORD115. It matches the Rfam family "Small nucleolar RNA SNORD115". Rfam says of the family: HBII-52 is a member of the C/D class of snoRNAs, which contain the C (UGAUGA) and D (CUGA) box motifs. HBII-52 is encoded in a tandemly repeated array with another C/D snoRNA, HBII-85, in the Prader-Willi syndrome (PWS) region of chromosome 15. The record is from Ensembl. NCBI's taxonomy places the organism in Eukaryota, Metazoa, Chordata, Mammalia, Rodentia, Cricetidae.